This 562-nucleotide long non-coding RNA is filed under the name Homo sapiens (human). Its description in RNAcentral is "RYR3 antisense RNA 1 (RYR3-AS1)". The record is from RNAcentral. Lineage: Eukaryota; Metazoa; Chordata; Mammalia; Primates; Hominidae.
CGCUGGUGGAAGACGGAGGAAUGCUUGAGGGAACGUUUAUUGCAUGCUGAAUCCAGAGCUGGAAACCAGGUUUGAGCCAAUCUAGGCACGGGCUCCCUGAGCAGGGCACCCUCUGUCUCUCCACCUGAUGGGUUGAUUAGACUCACAGAGAAAGGACCGUCUUACACCUGGAAAAUCAAAAGCCAGGGGCAGCCUGAAGACACGCUGGUCAUGCCAGUACUCUAGGGGCUAGGAUUGCUGUCUCAUGACGGUGCUUGGCCCGAGAAAGCACAUGGAGAGUUUUUCGUCAAGAAGUGUUACCUCUUUUAUGGAGAUGCUCACAGACUGGGCAUUUCACUGUCCCCUGUCCCUGAGACACAGAUUCUUUUUCUGAAAUCUGGUCAAAAUAAACUGGCGAUGUUGCUGCAGCCAAGCUGGCUUACUCUGGGCAGUGCCUUUUUUCUCACGAAGAUCUGGCCUGACGGGACUCCCCCUCCCCACCUCCAACCUGAUCCUGCUGCUGGCUGUCCGCAAAGAACCUCCGACUGGCUUGCUGAAAUAAAUCAAGUGCUUAAUCCCGGUC